UCGGGAAUUUUGGGCAAUGGGGGAAACCCUGACCCGGCAACGCCGCGUGAAGGAUGAAGUAUUUCGGUAUGUAAACUUCGAAAGAAUAGGAAGAAUAAAUGACGGUACUAUUUAUAAGGUCCGGCUAACUACGUGCCAGCAGCCGCGGUAAUACGUAGGGACCAAGCGUUGUUCGGAUUUACUGGGCGUAAAGGGCGCGUAGGCGGCAUGACAAGUCACUUGUGAAAUCUCUGGGCUUAACCCAGAACGGCCAAGUGAUACUGUCGCGCUAGAGUGCAGAAGGGGCAAUCGGAAUUCUUGGUGUAGCGGUGAAAUGCGUAGAUAUCAAGAGGAACACCUGAGGUGAAGACGGGUUGCUGGGCUGACACUGACGCUGAGGCGCGAAAGCCAGGGGAGCAAACGGGAUUAGAUACCCGCGUAGUCCCUGAGCGGGCUGGCAAGGCGCAU
RNAcentral lists this ribosomal RNA (447 nucleotides) under uncultured bacterium. Its description in RNAcentral is "bacterial SSU rRNA". It matches the Rfam family "Bacterial small subunit ribosomal RNA", at positions 355 to 825 of the family's 1533-position model. The record is from RNAcentral.